Molecule: ribosomal RNA, 397 nt
Filed under: uncultured eukaryote
Lineage: Eukaryota
Description: bacterial SSU rRNA
Rfam family: Eukaryotic small subunit ribosomal RNA
Source: RNAcentral
CAGUAGCGUAUAUUAAAGUUGUUGCGGUUAAAAAGCUCGUAGUUGGAUUUCUGCCGAGGACGACCGGUCCGCCCUCUGGGUGAGUAUCUGGUUCGGCCUGGGCAUCUUCUUGGAGAACGUAUCUGCACUUGACUGUGUGGUGCGGUAUCCAGGACUUUUACUUUGAAAAAUUAGAGUGUUUAAAGCAGGCUUUUGCUAUGAAUACAUUAGCAUGGAAUAAUAAUCUAGGACUUCGGUUCUAUUUUGUUUGGUUUCUUAGUACUGAAGUAAUGAUUGAUAGGGAUAGUUGGGGGUGGCUAGUAUUGGCCGGCCAGAGGUGAAAUUCUUGGAUUCGGUCAAGACUAACUUAUGCGAAAGCAUUCACCAAGGAUGUCUUCUUUAAUCAAGAACGAAAGUU